UGCUGAGGGAGAUGGAGAGAGGAUUCGGCAGGUUUAUAGGAUUGUUUGUUAUUUGUUGUUUCUGAUAUCAGAUGUAAAAGGCUAUAUAUAUAUAAUAGCCAUGACUCUCUUCUCUAUAUCACGUAUUCUUUCCUGAUAGAGAUAUGGUGAAGAGUGACCGUGAGUGAAGCAAAAGUUGGCAUAAAUUCUCGACCUCUCUCUGCGCUUCUCCUCGUCCCCGAAGCUUCUGGUGUUUUGCUUCGUAAUUCAAUGGUGGUCCCUGAUUGAUCGGUCUAUGAAGAAGUGGAGCGUGCUUUGGCGAAAUUGGGGCAUGGUAAAUUCAAUGAAAGGUAUUCUUCCAAGCACAUAGCUGUUAUCGGGAUAGUUGUAUUGACUCCCUUGCAGCUGCAUUUCGUGAUGUCUUGAAGGAAUGGAAGACAUUAAAAAACAAAGCACAUGACUACUGAGAUUGAAGUAUGUUUUGUUUCCCCUGCUCUCAAAAUUUACUGAAAUGAUAUACUCAAAUAUGAUCGUAAGAUAUGUCAUUUUCUCUGAUUCAGUGUGUUGAGUGUGAGCUACCAACAUUUAGUGCUAGUUAUAGAA
Long non-coding RNA from Lotus japonicus, 582 nucleotides. RefSeq lists it as uncharacterized. NCBI's taxonomy places the organism in Eukaryota, Viridiplantae, Streptophyta, Magnoliopsida, Fabales, Fabaceae. The record is from RefSeq and is a predicted model, not a curated record. The transcript is spliced from 4 exons.